GACGAACGCUGGCGGCGUGCCUAAUACAUGCAAGUCGAGCGGAGUCUGAAAGGAAGCUUGCUUCCUUUCAGACUUAGCGGCGGACGGGUGAGUAACACGUAGGCAACCUGCCCUCAAGCCUGGGAUAACUACCGGAAACGGUAGCUAAUACCGGAUAAUUUCUUUUUUCUCCUGAGGAGAGAAUGAAAGGCGGAGCAAUCUGCUGCUUGGGGAUGGGCCUGCGGCGCAUUAGCUAGUUGGUGGGGUAACGGCCCACCAAGGCGACGAUGCGUAGCCGACCUGAGAGGGUGAACGGCCACACUGGGACUGAGACACGGCCCAG
RNAcentral lists this ribosomal RNA (322 nucleotides) under uncultured bacterium. RNAcentral's name for it is "bacterial SSU rRNA". It matches the Rfam family "Bacterial small subunit ribosomal RNA", at positions 28 to 334 of the family's 1533-position model. The record is from RNAcentral.